AGAAAUUCGGAUUAAUACCCCAUGUGAUCGAAAGAUUAAAGGCGGCGCAAGCUGUCGCUCCAAGGAGGGCUCGCGGCCUAUCAGCUAGUUGGCGGGGUAACGGCCCACCAAGGCGAUGACGGGUAGCUGAUCUGAGAGGAUGAUCAGUCACACUGGAACUGAGACACGGUCCAGACACCUACGGGUGGCAGCAGUCGAGAAUCAUUCGCAAUGGGCGAGAGCCUGACGGUGCGACGCCGCGUGGAGGAUGAAGGCCCU
This 258-nucleotide ribosomal RNA is filed under the name uncultured bacterium. Its description in RNAcentral is "partial 16S ribosomal RNA". It matches the Rfam family "Bacterial small subunit ribosomal RNA", at positions 152 to 418 of the family's 1533-position model. The record is from RNAcentral.